GACAGAGGUCCCGAGCGUUAGGCGGAAUCACUGGGCUUAAAGCGUGUGUAGGCGGCGGCCUAAGUACCCUGUGAAAUCCCACGGCUCACCCGUGGAACUGCUCGGUAUACUGGGUCGCUUGAGCCACUUAGGGGCUACCGGAACAAAUGGUGGAGCGGUGAAAUGCGUAGAUAUCAGGAGGAACACCGAUGGCGAAGGCAGGUCUCUGGGCAUUAACUGACGCUGAGGAGCGAAAGCAUGGGGAGCGAACAGG
RNAcentral lists this ribosomal RNA (253 nucleotides) under uncultured bacterium. RNAcentral describes it as "partial 16S ribosomal RNA". It matches the Rfam family "Bacterial small subunit ribosomal RNA", at positions 524 to 776 of the family's 1533-position model. The record is from RNAcentral.